RNAcentral lists this long non-coding RNA (1615 nucleotides) under Erythranthe guttata (spotted monkey flower). Its description in RNAcentral is "long non-coding RNA (EGUT_LNC002504)". The record is from RNAcentral. Lineage: Eukaryota; Viridiplantae; Streptophyta; Magnoliopsida; Lamiales; Phrymaceae.
UAAAUUUGAGGGAUAUUUAUAAAAUUUUAUAUAUCUUUGGUGGUGAAUUGAGAUACUUUGGAGGUGGAAAUAACACCACUCUUAUUUAAUGAUAUGAUUAGAGAUAAUAUUUAUAGUUGAUUAAUAAGGGUGAAUCAGGAAAAAUGUGCAUUUAAUGCAGAAUUGGGAUUGUAAAAUGAAUAUAAAACACAAAUAUUGAUGUGGUGUGAUUUUAUAUCAUGACUGCAGUUCCUCCAUCGCACUUUAUGAGUUUCGUUGUGGCCGCUAACUAUGUCACGAAUAGUUGUUAGGACGUCCGAGUUAACUCUUUCAUGCUAAAAAAAAUCAAAAAAUUAUCUGAUGCUCGAGUCAACUCUAGACGAUAAAAAAAAUCAAAAAAUUAUCUGAGCUUAGGGUUGAUCCAACGUAAAUUCUUCCACGCUCAAGUUAGAUAUCUAGGGGUAGAUCACAAGAGUCCUAGAGAACUCAAGAGAAUAAUAAAAGAGUAUCUUUAAUAAUGAGUUGCAGGUCUUAUUUAAAGUUAAUCUAGAGGUAUAACUUUAAUUAAUUAAUGGGCAUGUUAAUUGUUCCCUAAAAUAAUUAAGUAAAUUUUGUCACACUACACAGGGUCCAAUAUUAAUUAACUGUGUAAAUCUUUCAUAAAGGCAAUGUCAAAGUUGCAUUUAGUUUAUAUAUUAUCGAAAUCUCGUGGACAACAUAUGUAUUGAAUUUGAAAAAUAAACAUUUAAGUGAAUGUUGCAUCUUUUCAUUCAUCUUCAUGAAUUAUGAUCAUUUUACAAUCACAACUAAAUAUUUAAAUUUUGGUUUAUAUAUUUCUUAAAUUAUAGAAGAAUUCGCACCCAUAAUUUUAUUUAUAGCAACUUCAAUAAGUUUAUUAUUUUGUAGAGACAAUAUUAACAAAAGGGAGCUAGUCUUAUUCUUGAACGUGGACAAAAGGAAAUAACGUGUGAGCUAUAUUAUUAUUAUAUAUUAAGUUGAGGAUGCAUGCAUGCAUGGCAACAAACUAGUAAUCAUGGCUGAUAUAUUUUGAACGUAAUGGUGGUUGAUUCGUGUAAGAUUAACUAGACGACGGGUGGUGGUGGGGAGCGGCAUAAUAUCGGGAGUAAGCAGAAAAUCGGGCGGCGUGGAGGUGGCGGUGGUGACAAUGGGCAGAAUAUUGAGAGGUCUAUCAAUAAUGGAGGUAAAAUUGGAGGGUAUGGUAUGCAUAUACGUGGACGCGGUGGUGGUGGAGACCGUGAUGGUGGAGGCGGUGGUGGAGGUGGUGGUGGAGGCGAUGAUGGAGGUGGCGGUGAUGGAGGUGGUGGUGAUGGUGGUGGAGGUGGAGGCGGUGAUGGUGGUGGUGGUGAUGGAGGAGGCGGUGAUGGAGGUGGUGGUGGUGGUGGAGAAGACAACAAUGGAGGUGGAGGAGGUGGUGAUAGAAGUAAAGGAGGUAGGCCAGAUGGAGGAGCCGGUGAUGGCGGCGGAGGGUUAAGUUCCGGUGGCGGCGGAGAUAGGCAAAAUAUUGGUAGAGGAGCUAAAAUAGGCAAGAGUGUUAAUAAAACCCAUAAUUUGAGUUGCAUGUUCAUCACCAUAUAUAGAUCACUCUAUAUUUGUUUGCAAAAUAAGUUGAAUGUUU